GGGAGUGUAGCUCAGCGGAGGAGCACUUGCCUAGCACACUUUGCAAGAGCCUGGAUUCCAUCCCCAGCACUGCAA
This 75-nucleotide transfer RNA is filed under the name Marmota monax (woodchuck). RNAcentral's name for it is "tRNA.Ala". The record is from RNAcentral. Lineage: Eukaryota; Metazoa; Chordata; Mammalia; Rodentia; Sciuridae.